RNAcentral lists this ribosomal RNA (234 nucleotides) under uncultured bacterium. Its description in RNAcentral is "partial 16S ribosomal RNA". It matches the Rfam family "Bacterial small subunit ribosomal RNA", at positions 30 to 247 of the family's 1533-position model. The record is from RNAcentral.
AUUGAACGCUGGCGGCAGGCCUAACACAUGCAAGUCGAACGGUAGCACAGAGAGCUUGCUCUCGGGUGACGAGUGGCGGACGGGUGAGUAAUGUCUGGGAAACUGCCUGAUGGAGGGGGAUAACUACUGGAAACGGUAGCUAAUACCGCAUAAUGUCGACAACGAACCAAAGGGACGGGGUACCGUUCGGGUCCUUCUUCGCCACUCGAAGAUGUCGCCCAGAGUGGGUAGUUA